CAGCCGCCGCGGGAAUACGGAGGGUGCAAGCGUUAUCCGGAUUUAUUGGGUUUAAAGGGUCCGUAGGCGGACUUAUAAGUCAGUGGUGAAAGCCUGUCGCUUAACGAUAGAACUGCCAUUGAUACUGUAAGUCUUGAGUAUAUUUGAGGUAGCUGGAAUAAGUAGUGUAGCGGUGAAAUGCAUAGAUAUUACUUAGAACACCAAUUGCGAAGGCAGGUUACCAAGAUAUAACUGACGCUGAGGGACGAAAGCGUGGGUAGCGAACAGGAUUAGAUACCCCGGUAGUCCCUGUCUCUUAUAA
Molecule: ribosomal RNA, 301 nt
Filed under: uncultured bacterium
Lineage: Bacteria
Description: partial 16S ribosomal RNA
Rfam family: Bacterial small subunit ribosomal RNA
Source: RNAcentral